UGAUUGUCUCUGCCAGGAAAUUUAUUUUCCCA
Molecule: non-coding RNA, 32 nt
Filed under: Rattus norvegicus (Norway rat)
Lineage: Eukaryota; Metazoa; Chordata; Mammalia; Rodentia; Muridae
Source: RNAcentral